RNAcentral lists this ribosomal RNA (497 nucleotides) under uncultured bacterium. Its description in RNAcentral is "partial 16S ribosomal RNA". It matches the Rfam family "Bacterial small subunit ribosomal RNA", at positions 28 to 507 of the family's 1533-position model. The record is from RNAcentral.
GAUGAACGCUGGCGGCGUGCCUAAUACAUGCAAGUCGAGCGAACGGACGAGAAGCUUGCUUCUCUGAUGUUAGCGGCGGACGGGUGAGUAACACGUGGAUAACCUACCUAUAAGACUGGGAUAACUUCGGGAAACCGGAGCUAAUACCGGAUAAUAUUUUGAACCGCAUGGUUCAAAAGUGAAAGAAGGUCUUGCUGUCACUUAUAGAUGGAUCCGCGCUGCAUUAGCUAGUUGGUAAGGUAACGGCUUACCAAGGCAACGAUGCAUAGCCGACCUGAGAGGGUGAUCGGCCACACUGGAACUGAGAACCGUUCCAGACUCCUACGGGAGGCAGCAGUAGGGAAUCUUCCGCAAUGGGCGAAAGCCUGACGGAGCAACGCCGCGUGAGUGAUGAAGGUCUUCGGAUCGUAAAACUCUGUUAUUAGGGAAGUACAUAUGUGUAAGUAACUGUGCACAUCUUGACGGUACCUAAUCAGAAAGCCACGGCUAACUACGUG